RNAcentral lists this ribosomal RNA (424 nucleotides) under uncultured bacterium. Its description in RNAcentral is "bacterial SSU rRNA". It matches the Rfam family "Bacterial small subunit ribosomal RNA", at positions 356 to 773 of the family's 1533-position model. The record is from RNAcentral.
CGGGAAUAUUGGACAAUGGGGGCAACCCUGAUCCAGCAAUACCGCGUGUGUGAAGAAGGCCUUCGGGUUGUAAAGUUCUGUCAAUUGGGAAGAAACCUCUGAGGUCAAUAGCCUUAGAGAUGACGGUACCUAAGAAGGAAGCUCCGGCUAACUACGUGCCAGCAGCCGCGGUAAUACGUAGGGAGCAAGCGUUAUCCGGAAUUACUGGGCGUAAAGGGCGUGUAGGCGGCUACUUAAGCCAGAUGUUAAAUGUUACAGCUCAACUGUAAAGCUGCAUCUGGAACUGGGUAGCUAGAGGACGAGAGAGGAAAGUGGAAUUCCUAGUGUAGCGGUGGAAUGCGUAGAUAUUAGGAGGAACACCAGUGGCGAAGGCGGCUUUCUGGCUCGUACCUGACGCUGAGGCGCGAAAGCGUGGGGAGCAAAC